Long non-coding RNA from Ailuropoda melanoleuca (giant panda), 1301 nucleotides. RefSeq lists it as uncharacterized. Lineage: Eukaryota; Metazoa; Chordata; Mammalia; Carnivora; Ursidae. The record is from RefSeq and is a predicted model, not a curated record. The transcript has 4 exons.
UAUGAAGUAGGGUGCCAGGUUUCAGUCUUGCAAAAAUAAUUACAUUUCCCUCGGGUUAGCUGAUGACGGACCAGAAGAUAUAGGGUACCAUUCAGUUCAUCUGAAUUGACCAAAGAGACAGUUCAGUUCAUCUGCAUGUACAGAGCACCAUGGCAAAAUACUUGGAAUAAGACCUCUGACUUGGAGAGUGCAGGGCCAGUGACAGGACCCCCACAGGAAGUGCUGGGCAGGGAUAGAUGCGUUAGUCUGAGGAGGUGAACGUGUGUCCAAAGAGGACGGUGACCGCAGGAAAGAAGCAAGGCUGACAUGCACCACUUAGGGUGCAAGGUGAGGCCACCGGGUGGCAAGGCAAGGCAAAGAGAAGACCAAGGAAGGCAAAGGUAAAAAUGCUGGGGUCAGGUAGACAGGCAGAGAGCCCAAGUUCAUCAGUGGGCGGCUGGAGUGCAGGGAGACUAACCUGAAGCUCAAUCAAGUCAACUUGAACAGAAGAUGCUGGUACCAUUCAGAGGCAUGCGUGGAAGAAGAAAAGAGAUGCCUGGAGGUGCGUGUCCUAAUCCCUAGAACCUGUAAAUGUUGUCUUAUAGACCAAGAGGGUCUCUGCAGAUGCGAUGAUGUUAAGGAUCUUGAGAAGGGGAGAUCCUGGCUUAUCUGGAAUUGUGGAGUGUAUCAUGUCACCAAAUCGGCAAGCAAAAUUCAUCUUCUUUAGAAGGAAUUUCGGUGUUUGGCCCAGCCACGACAAAGGAAACGUAUUGAGACUUUGUGUAUGGGUGAGAGGAUGGGAAAUAUGAACUCGACAUCCUAAGCUCUGCCUGUGGAUUCCCGUGGAAGCCAUUGAGUGACAUCUGGCAAAAAUCCCAUGAGGCAUCCCCCGACCUCUGUGGCUUUGCCAAUGAGCGCCGUCUAGGUCUGCAGUUGCCUUGGAACUUCCCUGUAACUCUCGUGGGGACACAAAGCAAAGCAUGCUCACCUGGAAAGGGGACCAGGAGCCCCAAGUCAGGACCCCAGAUCCCUGUCCUUCCACCUCUCUGCACACACCCACCCAGGCCUUCCAGGAAGAGUGAGCAGAGUUAGGAAAUAUUGAUCUCACAGAUAUUUGAGAGCAUUAGAAGCCAUUGCCCUAAUUGCUCUCGGUUGAGGGAUUAGAACAGCCCCCACUGCAGACUACCCUACAACCGAACAUUUAAAUGUCCGGUUUUGUAAAACUAGCCCGGAACAGCUUUGCUCAAAUUACUGGGCCUGUAUUACAUGAGUGUGAGGUUGCCAAGGAAAAUGAGUCAGAGUAAUCCCUUUGCUAAGAGAUG